AAGCCAGGUCAGUUUCUAUCCACGAAAGUUGCGCUUUUNUUAGUNCGAAAGGACCAGAAAAGCAGUACCAAUUUUUAAAAAAAAGUACUAAAAAAAAGUUUUGAAAAAAAAAUGAAAAUUUUCACUAAAAAAUUUUACUUUU
Molecule: ribosomal RNA, 142 nt
Filed under: Coscinasterias muricata
Lineage: Eukaryota; Metazoa; Echinodermata; Asteroidea; Forcipulatida; Asteriidae
Description: partial 16S ribosomal RNA
Source: RNAcentral